This 466-nucleotide ribosomal RNA is filed under the name uncultured bacterium. RNAcentral's name for it is "partial 16S ribosomal RNA". It matches the Rfam family "Bacterial small subunit ribosomal RNA", at positions 28 to 507 of the family's 1533-position model. The record is from RNAcentral.
GAUGAACGCUGGCGGCGUGCUUAACACAUGCAAGUCGAACGAUGAAGCCCAGCUUGCUGGGUGGAUUAGUGGCGAACGGGUGAGUAACACGUGAGUAACCUGCCCUUAACUCUGGGAUAAGCCUGGGAAACUGGGUCUAAUACCGGAUAGGAGCGUCCACCGCAUGGUGGGUGUUGGAAAGAUUUAUCGGUUUUGGAUGGACUCGCGGCCUAUCAGCUUGUUGGUGAGGUAAUGGCUCACCAAGGCGACGACGUGUAGCCGGCCUGAGAGGGUGACCGGCCACACUGGGACUGAGACACGGCCCAGACUCCUACGGGAGGCAGCAGUGGGGAAUAUUGCACAAUGGGCGCAAGCCUGAUGCAGCGACGCCGCGUGAGGGAUGACGGCCUUCGGGUUGUAAACCUCUUUCAGUAGGGAAGAAGCGAAAGUGACGGUACCUGCAGAAGAAGCACCGGCUAACUACGUG